UACGUAGGGUGCGAGCGUUGUCCGGAAUUAUUGGGCGUAAAGAGCUUGUAGGCGGUUUGUCGCGUCUGCCGUGAAAGCCCAGGGCUUAACCCUGGGUCUGCGGUGGGUACGGGCAGACUAGAGUGUGGUAGGGGAGACUGGAAUUCCUGGUGUAGCGGUGAAAAUGCGCAGAUAUCAGGAGGAACACCGGUGGCGAAGGCGGGUCUCUGGGCCGAAUACUGACGUGAGGAGCGAAAGCGUGGGGAGCGAACAGG
Molecule: ribosomal RNA, 254 nt
Filed under: uncultured bacterium
Lineage: Bacteria
Description: partial 16S ribosomal RNA
Rfam family: Bacterial small subunit ribosomal RNA
Source: RNAcentral